RNAcentral lists this ribosomal RNA (456 nucleotides) under Triticum aestivum (bread wheat). RNAcentral's name for it is "partial small subunit ribosomal RNA". The record is from RNAcentral. Lineage: Eukaryota; Viridiplantae; Streptophyta; Magnoliopsida; Poales; Poaceae.
AUGAUCGGAAAAAUCAAGUUACAAGAACGGGAGGAGGAUGACUUGAUCUUUGAAGAGGAAUUCCCAGAUGAGAUCGAGGAAGCAGAGUUCAUGGCGCUGGCGACGGUGCACACGAACAAGCCUUUCAGUCGAGGAUCGUUCUACGAUACGAUGCGACUCGCAUGGAGUCUAGCACAAGGAGUAACCUUCAAACCCCUGGGUGAAAAUUUGUUCUCUCUGACGGUGAAUUGUCUAGGGGAUUGGAAGCGGGUCACAGAGGAGGGCCCGUGGCUGUUUCGUGAUCAUGGUGUGCUUAUUGAGAAGUACGAUGGAUACACCAGGUAUGAGGAGGUAGUCUUGGAUAAACUGGCUGUUUGGAUUCAGAUUGUCGAUCUCCCUCCGGUUUUCAGGAAGGAUCAUGUGGUUAGAUCGCUAGCAAAGAAAGUGGGGGUUGUGGAGAAAGUAAUGUUAAACCCU